This 1780-nucleotide ribosomal RNA is filed under the name Boleodorus thylactus. RNAcentral's name for it is "SSU rRNA". It matches the Rfam family "Eukaryotic small subunit ribosomal RNA". The record is from RNAcentral. Lineage: Eukaryota; Metazoa; Nematoda; Chromadorea; Rhabditida; Tylenchidae.
UGCUUUGUCUCAAAGAUUAAGCCAUGCAUGUAUAAGUACAAACGACUCGAUCGUGAAACCGCGAACGGCUCAUUAUAACAGCUAUAAUUUACUUGAUCUUGACAAUCCUACUUGGAUAACUGUGGUAAUUCUAGAGCUAAUACAUGCACCAAAGCUCCGACCUCGCGGGAGGAGCGCAUUUAUUAGAACAAAACCAAGCGGGCGCCUCACGGUGCUCGUGAUUUGUUGACUCAGAAUAACUAAGCUGAUCGCAUGGUCUUGCACCGGCGACGUGUCUUUCAAGUAUCUGCCUUAUCAACUUUCGAUGGUAGUGUAUCUGACUACCAUGGUUGUGACGGGUAACGGAGGAUAAGGGUUCGACUCCGGAGAAGGGGCCUGAGAAAUGGCCACUACGUCUAAGGAUGGCAGCAGGCGCGCAAAUUACCCACUCUCAGAACACUGAGGAGGUAGUGACGAGAAAUAACGAGGCCGUUCUCUAUGAGGCCGGUCAUCGGAAUGGGUACAAUCUAAACCCUUUAACGAGUAUCUAUGAGAGGGCAAGUCUGGUGCCAGCAGCCGCGGUAAUUCCAGCUCUCAAAAUGCAUAGAAUUAUUGCUGCGGUUAAAAAGCUCGUAGUUGGAUCUGUGCGACGGGAGUCGGUCCAGCCUCACGGCUGCGCACUGGCCACCCGCGCUUUCCGGUCGGUUUUCGCGUCGUGGCUUUCACCGGCUGCGGCGCGUGGCUGACGAGUUUACUUUGAACAAAUCAGAGUGCUUAACACAGGCGUUUCGCUUGAAUGUUCUUGCAUGGAAUAAUAGAAGAGGAUCGCGGUCCGAUUUUAUUGGUUUUAUGGACUGAGAUAAUGGUUAACAGAGACAAACGGGGGCAUUCGUACCGCUGCGUGAGAGGUGAAAUUCUUGGACCGCAGCGAGACGAACUACAGCGAAAGCAUUUGCCAAGAAUGUCUUCAUUAAUCAAGAACGAAAGUCAGAGGUUCGAAGGCGAUCAGAUACCGCCCUAGUUCUGACCGUAAACGAUGCCAACUCGCGAUCCGCCGGCGGAUUCAUUCGCCCUGGUGGGGAGCGUCCCGGAAACGAAAGUCUUCCGGUUCCGGGGGAAGUAUGGUUGCAAAGCUGAAACUUAAAGGAAUUGACGGAAGGGCACCACCAGGAGUGGAGCCUGCGGCUUAAUUUGACUCAACACGGGAAAACUCACCCGGCCCGGACACCGUAAGGAUUGACAGAUUGAUAGCUUUUUCAUGAUUCGGUGGAUGGUGGUGCAUGGCCGUUCUUAGUUCGUGGAGCGAUUUGUCUGGUUUAUUCCGAUAACGAGCGAGACUCUAGCCUACUAACUAGUCCACACAUUCGCAAGUGCGUGUGUCGACUUCUUAGAGGGAUUUUCGGUGUUCAGCCGCACGAGAUUGAGCAAUAACAGGUCUGUGAUGCCCUUAGAUGUCCGGGGCUGCACGCGCGCUACACUGGCGAAAUCAGCGUGCCUGUCCUCUCUCGAAAGAGAUUGGUAAACCAAUGAAAAUUCGCCGUGAUUGGGAUCGGAAAUUGCAAUUAUUUUCCGUGAACGAGGAAUUCCAAGUAAGUGCGAGUCAUCAACUCGCGUUGAUUACGUCCCUGCUCUUUGUACACACCGCCCGUCGCUGCCCGGGACUGAGCCAUUUCGAGAAAUUUGGGGAUUGCUGAUUGACGCGCUUCACGGUGCGCCUCUCGGUGAGAACCAAUUUAAUCGCAGUGGCUUGAACCGGGCAAAAGUCGUAACAAGGUGGCUGUAGGUGAACCUGCAGCAGGAU